Molecule: small nucleolar RNA, 73 nt
Filed under: Gigantopelta aegis
Lineage: Eukaryota; Metazoa; Mollusca; Gastropoda; Neomphalida; Peltospiridae
Description: small nucleolar RNA SNORD47
Rfam family: Small nucleolar RNA SNORD47
About the family: U47 belongs to the C/D class of snoRNA which contain the C (UGAUGA) and D (CUGA) box motifs.
Source: RNAcentral
UGGAAGUGAUGAAGAUGAUUCUGCCAAAUGAUUUAAAAUGAUAUCAAAUUUUUUCCGUUCCAUUUCUGAUCCA